Molecule: ribosomal RNA, 628 nt
Filed under: Acinetobacter sp.
Lineage: Bacteria; Pseudomonadati; Pseudomonadota; Gammaproteobacteria; Moraxellales; Moraxellaceae
Description: bacterial SSU rRNA
Rfam family: Bacterial small subunit ribosomal RNA
Source: RNAcentral
AAGUCGAGCGGGGCGAGGUUGCUUCGGUAACUGAGCUAGCGGCGGACGGGUGAGUAAUGCUUAGGAAUCUGCCUAUUAGUGGGGGACAACAUUCCGAAAGGGAUGCUAAUACCGCAUACGUCCUACGGGAGAAAGCAGGGGCUCUUUAUGACCUUGCGCUAAUAGAUGAGCCUAAGUCGGAUUAGCUAGUUGGUGGGGUAAAGGCCUACCAAGGCGACGAUCUGUAGCGGGUCUGAGAGGAUGAUCCGCCACACUGGGACUGAGACACGGCCCAGACUCCUACGGGAGGCAGCAGUGGGGAAUAUUGGACAAUGGGGGGAACCCUGAUCCAGCCAUGCCGCGUGUGUGAAGAAGGCCUUUUGGUUGUAAAGCACUUUAAGUGGGGAGGAGGCUUACCUGGUUAAUACCUGGGCUAAGUGGACGUUACCCACAGAAUAAGCACCGGCUAACUCUGUGCCAGCAGCCGCGGUAAUACAGAGGGUGCGAGCGUUAAUCGGAUUUACUGGGCGUAAAGCGCGCGUAGGUGGUUAAUUAAGUCAAAUGUGAAAUCCCCGAGCUUAACUUGGGAAUUGCAUUCGAUACUGGUUAGCUAGAGUAUGGGAGAGGAUGGUAGAAUUCCAGGUGUACC